AAGAAUUUAAAAGUCGAACAGACUUAAAAUUUGAAUGGCUGCACCCAAAAUUAUAUCUUAAUCCAACAUCGAGGUCGCAAUCUUUUUUAUCGAUAUGAACUCUCCAAAAAAAUUACG
This 117-nucleotide ribosomal RNA is filed under the name Micropezidae sp. CH-2014. RNAcentral describes it as "partial 16S ribosomal RNA". Lineage: Eukaryota; Metazoa; Arthropoda; Insecta; Diptera; Micropezidae. The record is from RNAcentral.